CUGAGAGGUAGCUGUUUCUGUUUAGAGUGAAACAAGGUGCUCUGGGCCUGACAAACAGCUCAGUUUGCCUGGGCUAUUAAGCUAGAGGCUAAAAAGGGGCUUCCCUGACUCAAGCAUUUGGUACUCCCUCAAAACUUCAGUCAGACUGUGGCAGUUCCUGCUUGUCGGGAGGCUGGGCAGGAUGACGAAAGGUCCCUUGCAUCUAACCAUUUCCCCUGGACUGCCUCCCCUCCCCACAGAUCCCUAGCCCCUUGAAGCCAUGCGGGGUCCAACCUGUAAAGUUGUUGGAGAUUCUGCAAUCCCCUCUAGGGCAGCAGUCUUUGAAGCUGCAGUACCACGUGGUCAGGAGGUCCAGGUACCGCUGGCCCAACAGAGGAAGGCGCCAGCCCAGGGGCCCCGUGGCUGCCUCCUCGUCCUCGUCACAGUCGUCGGGCCACACCUGGCAGCUGAAGAGCGUCCAGUACCGCUUGGAGAGGGCACCCGCCGCCCUGAGCUGCUCCUGCAGGCGCUGGAAGCCCGGCCAGGCCCAGGCCGAGCCCGGCUCGUCGGUUCCCUCCCACGGCCUGGAGGCGCCGCGGGGCUCAGGCGCGCCCGGGAGCAGCAGCAGGAAAAAGAGCCAAAGCUGGCGCCACGGACCGCGAAGCAUGGCCGGCCCCGAGCUGCGGGACCAUCCGGCUGCCGGCCUAGCCAGGCUCCCUUAAGCCCGGGGCGGUCAGGCGGGGACCGCACUUCCUAGGCGGGCUUGAACCCGGGAUUGGUGUUGCUGUGGCGACCGGCGGGCCGGGCUGAGUGCGCACUGGCAGCCUCCGUACACGUGACCCAGGCGGGAACCCGAAACCCUGUCUGGGGUCCUGAGAGGCAGUCCCGAGACUGACUUCAGGCCAGGUGCAACUAGCCGGCUUCCAGGAAGCAGUUUAUUCUGGGUCGUGAUUGUGGUUGCAAAGAAGGUGAACUCAGGCUUUGAAAUGGCCACUGUCAAUCACUCCGCUAGGACUUUCGGACGGCUCUGGUGGCCCAUCAGAGGCCUACCGAAUAAGGACACUCCUGCUUUGCCUCGCGUUUGCAGAUCAACUUCCCGCCAACCUGUUAGAGGAAGCCGGAAAACCGUCUCAGUCAGGAGCGUUAGGCAGGCCAGGGGAGUCAGCUGAGUGGAGAAGAGGCCCUGGAAAGAAGGGCACAGCUAGGUGCCUGUCUGGCCAAGGUUGCCCUGGCUCCUCCGCAGAGGGAAAUGAAACCGCAGCAAAACACCAGCAGGUUUCCACAGUGGGAGUCCACGAAAAGCAAGAGGAAGCUGAUUGACGGGCUCCAGUCUGGAGGUG
RNAcentral lists this long non-coding RNA (1319 nucleotides) under Homo sapiens (human). Its description in RNAcentral is "LNC_000382". Lineage: Eukaryota; Metazoa; Chordata; Mammalia; Primates; Hominidae. The record is from RNAcentral.